Molecule: long non-coding RNA, 1407 nt
Filed under: Gouania willdenowi (blunt-snouted clingfish)
Lineage: Eukaryota; Metazoa; Chordata; Actinopteri; Blenniiformes; Gobiesocidae
Description: lncRNA (ENSGWIG00000012845.1)
Source: RNAcentral
GCACAAAUUACUGAAAAAAAUAACUUGACAAUAUGUAAUAAAACACGAUAAAUACCUUUUGUUUCAAUGCAGGCAGUUGGAAAGCCUGUUCCGAUGACGUCACGUAAAUAAAGGGGCGGAGCCUGCAGAUUAGAAGUCUCAAGCUGUGGUAAUCGUCUAACCUAGGCGCUCGUCCACACUCCCACAGUGCUUUAAAUCGUCUUAUUGUGACUCUGAAUGGUUUUUUUCAGUGUGGGAACCUUUGGCCGAGCACAAGCGAAAGUUUUCCUGCCGGUAGCGGUAAGUGGGCGGGCUACGAAAGCGGAAGAAUUGUAGUUGGUGUGGCUAAGGUAGUUAGCUCCAGCCACUAGCAGCAGCAGCAGCAGCUCACUGUGCUAACAUGCCGGGAGCUGCCUGACACUUCACCGUCAGCUGUGAGCGGAACAGCUCAGGGAUAGCAGAGCGUUGUUGUCUGAGGCUACACCAGCUGGAGCUGCUUGUCCACACACACAGCCUGUGUUUCUACACCAGUGAGCUGUAAAACACUGCUGAGCGUCUCAUCGAGGGAGUGUCAACUUCUUCUUUUUUUUGCCAAAAAAAAAAAAAAAAAAAAAAACCAUCCGUGAAUCGUGCAGACAUGCUGACAGACAGCAGGAAGCGACAUCAUAGCUGUGACAGUGAGGAGGAGCAGCAGCAGCUCAUGCCUCGGGCUAAGAGAUUUGGAAGAGGUCCUUGCCUCCAUGUGUCAGAUUUGGAUUCCGAGUCUUCCAGCAGUGACAGCAGUAAUGGGAUCAGCAGUCCAGAGGCAACAAUGGUGGCCAGCACCAGGCCGUGCAUACACAGUCAGAGCAACUGCAUCACCCAACACUCCCUUAGCCCAAAGCCUGAGGAAUCUGCCAGCUCCUUGCAGCACGGUUUCCAGGGUGACGGGAGGGGGAGUGUCUCCUACGACCACAUCAACAGAAUCCUGCGGGAGGCGCACUUCAGCAGCCUGCAAACCAAAGGGCGUCCAGGCACAACAUGACCGUGAACUUUGACCCUCUGCUGACCAUCUUUAGGCUCUCACACAUCAGCACCGGCUCUGCCAGCGUGGACACCUCAAUCUACACCCCGGGGGUCAGGGUUGAGGGGACGGCAAGUGUGGUGGUUUAUAUGAUUCGGCCAUGACGGCUCAUCCCCACCUCCACAUGUUCCAUUCGUCCUCAAACAUAAAGCACAUCUGCCUUCUCAUGGCCCAGUCACUGUGGUUCCCUGUGCAGUAUUGAUGUGUAUUUGUACAUGUGCGUGUGUGUGCACGCACCCACCCACUGCACUUUAUGACUCUCUUUACAUGCGUGUGUUUGAUGUGUGGACAUUUCCAUUGGUGCUAAUUACAAAAGAAGUGAUAAUGACCCAAGGUGCGUGCAUAUCAAAAAUAAAGCAAAGCAC